CAUUGACAGCCAGCCAGACGGACGGACAUAGCUUAAUCGACUCAAAAAACGAUUCUAAGCCGAUUGGUAUACUUUAAGGUGGAGUACGUUCAAACUUAUGCGGAAUUUAAACAGAAUUUCAAAUGUAGUGAGCGUUGGUGUUGGAGACAAAGUAAAAAGGAGCAAAUAAAAGAUAUACUUGGUCAAAAGUAAGGCAAUAAUUGGUGGAACAUUAGAAAAAUAUAAUGUCAGAUAGCGGCAGUGGCGAAGAAGGACUUUCAGGAUCAAGUAUGAAUU
Long non-coding RNA from Lucilia sericata (common green bottle fly), 276 nucleotides. RefSeq lists it as uncharacterized. The transcript is spliced from 3 exons. The record is from RefSeq and is a predicted model, not a curated record. NCBI's taxonomy places the organism in Eukaryota, Metazoa, Arthropoda, Insecta, Diptera, Calliphoridae.